UGGUUCCUUAGAUCAUACAAACUACACGGAUAACUGUAGUAAUUCUAGAGCUAAUACGUGCAACUACGUCCGGACCCGUAAGGGAAUGGAGGCAUUUAUUAGAACAGAACCAACCAGGACGGCUUCGGUCGUUCCUGUCUUGAACUGUGAUGACUCUGGAUAACUUUCAAUGAUCGCAGUCGGCCUUGAGUCGGCGACGGAUCUUUCAAGUGUCUGCCCUAUCAAUUUGUUGGUAGGUGAUUUGCCUACCAUGAUUAUAACGGGUAACGGGGAAUCAGGGUUCGAUUCCGGAGAGGGAGCCUGAGAAACGGCUACCACAUCUAAGGAUGGCAGCAGGCGCGAAAAUUACCCACUCUCAGUACGAGGAGGUAGUGACGAAAAAUACGGAUACGGGACUCUAUCGAGGCCUCGUAAUCCGAAUGAGUACAAUAUAAAACCUUUAACGAGGACCAAUUGGAGGGCAAGUCUGGUGCCAGCAGCCGCGGUAACUCCAGCUCCAAUAGCGUAUAUUAAAGUUGUUGCAGUUAAAAAGCUCGUAGUUGGAUCUGGGUUGUGUGGUUACAUGUCGUUUUUGUCCAUUGGACCUAGUGUAGUCUAGGGAAGGUGGGCGAGUCGAUGUGGUGAUCGUUCAACUUUUCAGCCGUGUCUGCCAAAAGCAGGUGUUAGUGGGCUAGUGGGUUUUCCCAUGAACUCAUUAGCAUGCCUUCAGAUGCUCUUAACCGGGUGUCGGGAGCGGACGGCAUAUUUACUUUGAA
This 755-nucleotide ribosomal RNA is filed under the name Digenea sp. MKP-2016. RNAcentral describes it as "SSU rRNA". It matches the Rfam family "Eukaryotic small subunit ribosomal RNA", at positions 113 to 761 of the family's 1831-position model. Lineage: Eukaryota; Metazoa; Platyhelminthes; Trematoda. The record is from RNAcentral.